CAGAGGGUGCGAGCGUUAAUCGGAAUUACUGGGCGUAAAGCGUGCGUAGACGGUUAUGUAAGUCGGAUGUGAAAGCCCCGGGCUCAACCUGGGAAUUGCAUUCGAGACUGCAUAGCUAGGAUGCGGAAGAGGGAAGCGGAAUUUCCGGUGUAGCGGUGAAAUGCGUAGAUAUCGGAAGGAACACCAGUGGCGAAAGCGGCUUCCUGGUCCAGCAUCGACGUUCAGGCACGAAAGCGUGGGGAGCAAACAGGAUUAGAUACCCUGGUAGUCCACGCCAUAAACGAUGAGAACUAGACGUUGAGAGGGUAAGCCUCCCAGUGUCGUAGCUAACGCGCUAAGUUCUCCGCCUGGGGAGUACGGCCGCAAGGUUG
Molecule: ribosomal RNA, 371 nt
Filed under: uncultured organism
Description: bacterial SSU rRNA
Rfam family: Bacterial small subunit ribosomal RNA
Source: RNAcentral